UAUUAGCUAGUUGGUGAGGUAACGGCUCACCAAGGCAAUGAUACGUAGCCGAACUGAGAGGUUGAUCGGCCACAUUGGGACUGAGACACGGCCCAAACUCCUACGGGAGGCAGCAGUAGGGAAUCUUCCACAAUGGACGCAAGUCUGAUGGAGCAACGCCGCGUGAGUGAAGAAGGCUUUCGGGUCGUAAAACUCUGUUGUUGGAGAAGAAUGGUCGGCAGAGUAACUGUUGUCGGCGUGACGGUAUCCAACCAGAAAGCCACGGCUAACUACGUGCCAGCAGCCGCGGUAAUACGUAGGUGGCAAGCGUUAUCCGGAUUUAUUGGGCGUAAAGCGAGCGCAGGCGGUUUUUUAAGUCUGAUGUGAAAGCCCUCGGCUUAACCGAGGAAGUGCAUCGGAAACUGGGAAACUUGAGUGCAGAAGAGGACAGUGGAACUCCAUGUGUAGCGGUGAAAUGCGUAGAUAUAUGGAAGAACACCAGUGGCGAAGGCGGCUGUCUGGUCUGUAACUGACGCUGAGGCUCGAAAGCAUGGGUAGCGAACAGGAUUAGAUACCCUGGUAGUCCAUGCCGUAAACGAUGAAUGCUAGGUGUUGGAGGGUUUCCGCCCUUCAGUGCCGCAGCUAACGCAUUAAGCAUUCCGCCUGGGGAGUACGACCGCAAGGUUGAAACUCAAAGGAAUUGACGGGGGCCCGCACAAGCGGUGGAGCAUGUGGUUUAAUUCGAAGCAACGCGAAGAACCUUACCAGGUCUUGACAUCUUUUGAUCACCUGAGAGAUCAGGUUUCCCCUUCGGGGGCAAAAUGACAGGUGGUGCAUGGUUGUCGUCAGCUCGUGUCGUGAGAUGUUGGGUUAAGUCCCGCAACGAGCGCAACCCUUAUGACUAGUUGCCAGCAUUUAGUUGGGCACUCUAGUAAGACUGCCGGUGACAAACCGGAGGAAGGUGGGGAUGACGUCAAAUCAUCAUGCCCCUUAUGACCUGGGCUACACACGUGCUACAAUGGAUGGUACAACGAGUUGCGAGACCGCGAGGUCAAGCUAAUCUCUUAAAGCCAUUCUCAGUUCGGACUGUAGGCUGCAACUCGCCUACACGAAGUCGGAAUCGCUAGUAAUCGCGGAUCAGCACGCCGCGGUGAAUACGUUCCCGGGCCUUGUACACACCGCCCGUCACACCAUGAGAGUUUGUAACACCCGAAGCCGGUGGCGUAACCCUUUUAGGGAGCGAG
RNAcentral lists this ribosomal RNA (1223 nucleotides) under Lacticaseibacillus rhamnosus. RNAcentral describes it as "bacterial SSU rRNA". It matches the Rfam family "Bacterial small subunit ribosomal RNA", at positions 239 to 1452 of the family's 1533-position model. Lineage: Bacteria; Bacillati; Bacillota; Bacilli; Lactobacillales; Lactobacillaceae. The record is from RNAcentral.